RNAcentral lists this ribosomal RNA (491 nucleotides) under uncultured bacterium. RNAcentral's name for it is "partial 16S ribosomal RNA". It matches the Rfam family "Bacterial small subunit ribosomal RNA", at positions 28 to 506 of the family's 1533-position model. The record is from RNAcentral.
GAUGAACGCUAGCUACAGGCUUAACACAUGCAAGUCGAGGGGAAACGACAUCGAAAGCUUGCUUUUGAUGGGCGUCGACCGGCGCACGGGUGAGUAACGCGUAUCCAACCUGCCCAUCACUUGGGAAUAACCUUGCGAAAGUAAGACUAAUACCCAAUGACAUCCCACGAAGACAUCUGAAUGGGAUUAAAGAUUUAUCGGUGAUGGAUGGGGAUGCGUCUGAUUAGCUUGUUGGCGGGGUAACGGCCCACCAAGGCAACGAUCAGUAGGGGUUCUGAGAGGAAGGUCCCCCACAUUGGAACUGAGACACGGUCCAAACUCCUACGGGAGGCAGCAGUGAGGAAGAUUGGUCAAUGGGCGAGAGCCUGAACCAGCCAAGUAGCGUGCAGGAUGACGGCCCUAUGGGUUGUAAACUGCUUUUAUAAGGGAAUAAAGUGGGUCUCGUGAGACUUUUUGCAUGUACCUUAUGAAUAAGGACCGGCUAAUUCCGU